UUUAAGUUCUACAGCAGUGGUUCUUAAACUUUCUGGGGUUUUAAACAAUGCUUGGAUCUUGG
RNAcentral lists this microRNA precursor (62 nucleotides) under Ciona intestinalis (vase tunicate). Its description in RNAcentral is "microRNA cin-mir-4203 precursor". The record is from miRBase by way of RNAcentral. Lineage: Eukaryota; Metazoa; Chordata; Ascidiacea; Phlebobranchia; Cionidae.